This 251-nucleotide ribosomal RNA is filed under the name uncultured bacterium. RNAcentral describes it as "partial 16S ribosomal RNA". It matches the Rfam family "Bacterial small subunit ribosomal RNA", at positions 335 to 579 of the family's 1533-position model. The record is from RNAcentral.
GUCCUACGGGAGGCAGCAGUAGGGAAUCUUCCACAAUGGACGAAAGCCUGAUGGAGCAACGCCGCGUGAGUGAAGAAGGGCUUCGGCUCGUAAAACCCUGUUGGUAGUGAAGAAAGAGAGAGGGAGUAACUGGCCUUUUUUUGACGGUAAUUAAUUAGAAAGUCACGGCUAACUACGUGCCAGCAGCCGCGGUAAUACGUAGGUGGCAAGCGUUAUCCGGAUUUAUUGGGCGUAAAGCGAGUGCAGGCGGU